GACGAACGCUGGCGGCGUGCUUAACACAUGCAAGUCGAACGGAAGGGCCCUGCUUUUGUGGGGUGCUCGAGUGGCGAACGGGUGAGUAACACGUGAGUAACCUGCCCUUGACUUUGGGAUAACUUCAGGAAACUGGGGCUAAUACCGGAUAGGAGCUCCUGCUGCAUGGUGGGGGUUGGAAAGUUUCGGCGGUUGGGGAUGGACUCGCGGCUUAUCAGCUUGUUGGUGGGGUAGUGGCUUACCAAGGCUUUGACGGGUAGCCGGCCUGAGAGGGUGACCGGCCACAUUGGGACUGAGAUCGGGCCCAGACUCCUACGGGAGGCAGCAGUGGGGAAUAUUGCAAAAUGGGCGGAAGCCUGAUGCAGCAACGCCGCGUGCGGGAUGACGGCCUUCGGGUUGUAAACCGCUUUCGCCUGUGACGAAGCGUGAGUGACGGUAAUGGGUAAAGAAGCACCGGCUAACUACGUG
Molecule: ribosomal RNA, 468 nt
Filed under: uncultured bacterium
Lineage: Bacteria
Description: partial 16S ribosomal RNA
Rfam family: Bacterial small subunit ribosomal RNA
Source: RNAcentral